Struthio camelus australis is the source of this 4802-nucleotide non-coding RNA. The record is from RefSeq and is a predicted model, not a curated record. NCBI's taxonomy places the organism in Eukaryota, Metazoa, Chordata, Aves, Struthioniformes, Struthionidae.
GCUUUAAGAAGGGUUUGCCCUCGUUUUGCUUUCCAGGACUGCCUGCUGUGAAGAGUUACUCGGCGUGGAAGAACGGUGUUUUGAUCCCCAAAAGGCGGUUCGGAAGAGGCUUGUUCAUAACGCGUAUUUUUCAUGCAGCUCGAUUCCCUGAGCCCCGUUCACCCAGGGACGGCUGCGUCGGUGCGAGGGUGCGGCCAAGGGGACAACUGGAGACGCUUCAACCGAGAUGAGCACCAAAGGAUGCGCGUGUGGCCUGAGGACUGCCGCGUAAGGCUUCGCUCCCGACUGAUCCGGCCUUUCAAAUUCAGCUCUUCCUCAGGGCCAAAUUCUUCGGGCACGGGGCAGCCACCCUUCCAGGAAGGGGGUGUGGGAGGGGAGGUGUUUUGGGGACUCUCUUGCCCAAAGAGGGUGAUGGAAAAACGUGUUGUCACUACUCUCACUAACCCCCAGGCGGGGACCGGCCUCGGCUGUGCCGUCAGACGUGAGAACAGAGCAUUGUGUUGAGGAGAGAAAUGAGGGGAUCCCUUCUGGGGCUGCUUCUAGGACUGCCAACACCUGAGCCUGGCGCUGAAGUAGAGGAGGGUAAAACUGGGGCAGUGCUGACCAGGAGCAUGGUGGCUUCCAGCGUCAGACUUCCCAUUAAGACAACUAUGUUAUCAAUGUAUAUUGAAGAGGUCCUCAGGAAAGAGCAAGUCCUGCGAGCUAAUAGACCUAUUCCCAACUCAUAAAUCUGGAAAUGGGCUCGCUCUUUGAUCUCUGAGCACUGCUUUUGUAGGCGGUCACUGCUGUGAUAUCCUUAGGGCCGAAAGACUUCUCCGUUCCCUGGCGCUUUACAGUGUCAGAGGUGUUCCAAUAACUGUCUCGUAACAGCAACUAAUGUGCUUCCCCGAUGGGAAAAACGACUAGAGACAUUUCCCAGGCCUUAAGGCCUUCAUUAGGAGACAGAGAUAAGAUAUUUGUAGACUUUAAAAAGAAGGAAAGUCAGCUUUAUUACAGUAGAAAAAAAUAACUUGUACAUACUAAAUUUUGUUUGUAAUAGAACUUGUAAGACGAAUGGUGUUUGACUGCUAGUUCUGUAACAGUUGAUAGAAAGUCUGGGUUGUGCAGCUUUAUAAAAUAGGAUACGGGUGCGUUAUGACUGAAUCAGGGCAAUGGGCAAAACUGCCCCUGUCCUUAAUACGGCCCAGUAUUACAAAUAGAGACGCCAGGGUACGCGGUGGUUCGUGCUCAGCCACUGAAUUAUCCAUUUACAGAUGAUUGAGCUGUCUAGUAGACGUUCACACAGUUAAUCGUGAGGGGCUGACCCAGCUGCAGGUAGGCUUUUGUCUGCACUGAGUGGUUGCACACCUUUGAUGCUGACCACUGUUUGCUUCCACUCUCCACGUCCCGGUUUCCUUUCCUGCUCUGUCUGACCAAUACCAGCAUUUUGACAUAUCUCGGUGAAAAAUCCUCUUAGGCGUGCCAACAGUAUGUGCUGGACCCAAAAGCACAAGCGACUUUGAGGCAAGAGCAGAAGCCAGGAAUCCUGUUUCCCGGUCCUGGUGCUCGGAGCAUUAAAUACGAACUCUUUUGCUCUGUAGGAAUCUGGUGGCUGCUCUUAGGUAUUGGCUUGCCUUGAAAGGGACCUCAGUCUGAGAAACUUAAGAGGGACUUAGCGCUCUAAUUGUAACAGAUUGUGCUGUUGCAUGAGAUCAGAGUACGCGUCUUUCGCUGCCGCCUCCGAGGCGAGCGGGAUGGCAUGAAAGACAGCUCUUUGUUUCUUCUGCCAGGUUUCUCCCCUCCUAAUGUUGGCACACCUCACCACAGCUCCCGCAGAGUUGCAUCCCACCAAUGUGCUAGAAGUGAUGCCUGCGAGGGAUUGCAGCAUGCCUCCUGCAGGGAGAGAAAGCGAUGUGUCUGGAUUCGGCAGCGUUUCCUCUCCCCGACAAGGAGUUUUGCAUCCAGCUGUGCCCCCUUAAUCUGACAAGGGUGUUUCCAAUGCCGUGUAGGUGCCAGCACGGAGGUGGAAUUGUUCUAGCUCUCAUGGCUACAGCAAGGAAGAGCUUGAGAAGGUGACCUGCAUGUUGUCCUCACUUUGAUGCAGUGUGCAGAUGUCCUGAGACAAGAUGACAACUUCUGUGCCUCAGUGUCACCAUCUGUGAAACUACUGCAACGUUGAUAUUUGUGUCUGUCCCUGACCGUCAGGCCCUCAUCCCCUGUGGGACAGGGAGAGGGGUCCCAUGUUACCAGGAGGUCCGAAGGCCAACUCUGAGCCUUGCUCGGGCGAUAGCGAGGCUGUCCCAGUUGACAGUAGGUGCCUGGGCACCAUCCCUUUUGAGGGGCUGCCAGCGUGACCUCCUGUCCUGCCCGGCCACCUGUGCCCAAGGGAUUGGGCCAAACCCCUUCCAGGGCUUUGGUGCCAGCAGUAAAAAGUACGCGAUGGAUGCUGUCACAUCUGAGAGCUGGAGCAAUGCCGUCAGAGGCUGGUGACACCAGCUACCCGUGCAGGACGCUCCUUGUAUCGCCUCGUACAGCUACAGGGCCGCUAGUUAUUUCAGGUCACAAGGUAUAGCUCCCGCUCUUGCCAAACAGCCCUGUGCACAGAUCUGCUGUGGGGUUCACAUACGUAUGGCAAGUGUUUGUGUCCUUUCUGAAAGAAGACUCAGUCUUGCUUGCCUAGGAUUUGAUUACUUCUGUAUAUGUGUAAUAUGUUUUUUCUUUGAAAAUUGAACUGCUGUUUCUCAUUCUCUGAUUUUAGCAACAAGAAACAAAUAGUAUCUUGUGACUUGAACUUUGUGCUCAGGAGGGGGAUGUGCCUUGGUAGAGUAAGGCACUUCCUGAGAGGUGUGAGACGUGACUUCAGGAUCUCCUGGUACCGUUCGUGUAUUCUGCUCCAAAGAGUUGAUAAGAGCUUCAGACGCACAGAAAGCCUGGAAGAAAGUAGCGGUGGGGGAUGCAUAAGAAUCUAGCAAAUGCUUAUGACAAGAUCAAAGGGCUGCAUUUGCUAGGUCUCAACAGGAGCAGAUUUGGGCUGAGAUGCCCGGGUUCAGAGGGGACCCAGACAUAGCACAGGGGCAAGAGCAGAAUAUGUCUGAUUGCUGGCUCCCUACCUUCAGAGAGAGGAAGAUCAAGGAGCUGGGAGUGGAAGGAGAUAAGAGCAAACGGUGGAGGUGGGGUCAGGAAGGGGCAGGAGGUAGGAAGCUAUCUGGAGAGAGGAGGGGUUGGUUGGUCUAAAGCGGACGGGAUAUUUAGAGUUGAAUUUAGAUGCUAUUACACCUUAGCCUGCCUUUGAGAUACACUGGGCAUAGCAGGAUAUGUGUAACUGACGGUCACUUUUGCUCCUGAAAGGAGUGGAUAGUCUUACAAUGACUUCUGUGGCAGCAAGCCUUAGGCUUAAACAAUUCGUUGCUGCAAUUUAUUUUCUCUGCGCCCACCUCUCCGAUCUCAUGAUACUAUGAGAAAACUUAAAGCAUCUAUUUGAUGAGUUCAUCAUGUUGCUUUGCUUAAUCAUAUGCUCUGAAUGAAGUCUGUAGAACAGUCAUACCCCAUUCUUAGAGAUAUUUUCAUCAAAGGAGGAUUUUAUAAUAGUCAUUGAUCCGGGUGGUUGUGUAUCUAAAAUUAGUGGACUGUGUGAACUCCCAGUAGUUUCAUUAAUCCUUUGCAUGGGCAAAGGAAGCACUUCUGUCUUUGCAGAUGAAUAAAAAUAAAAAAUAAGAAGAAAGGAAGAUAAGAACGGAAAAGCUAAGGAAAGAGAAAAGGCCCUCUUUACCUCCUUUUUAUACAGCACCUACUUGCAUGGAGCCAGCCCUCCAGGAUGCAGCUUGCAUUUUGGGCCUGGUCGAGAAGGGCAAGAUGGUAUGGCAUGUACCAGAGAAGCCACGUCCUGUUUAAAUAGCACUGUGUAAUUGAAAGAAAAGCUCCAAACAGUCCUCUCUCUGCUUUUUAAGACUCUGUGGCCUUAGGAAGCAGUGUUAAGAAAUUGUUUUCUGCCAUUUCUUGGCAGACUGGGGUUUUGUGGUCAUAUAGUAAUGUGCUGCAAAAACAGUACUGCUCAAGCAUCUGCUGAGGCUCCUUCGUGGAGCAGCAGAUGCAGUAGUUUCUCCUGGUAGUGCCCUGUCCUGCUCUCCUGCCCAGCCUGACUGCAUGCAGUAAGCUCCUAAAGCCCCGUCCUCUGCUGCAUGUUCCAGUCGUCCUUCUACCCUUGCUUCACUAAUGAGAAUCACUGGGUGUUUGGUUCCUGUCCUGCAGUGUUUGAUAUCAGUCUUAGCGCCUGAGCUGCAGAAAUUAAUCGAUUUUAUAAGAAUCUCACUUUUUUCCUUCUUUCUGUUAAAGCUAAUGUCUCACGGUUGUUGAGAAAAUAAUCCAAGUAUGAAGCAAAUUUUGCUGUGAUGUUUCAACACCACAAGGCAAUACAAAGAAUCCGAACUUUCCUGGUAAUGCCAGGUGCCUGUUAGGAUGAGAACACGGAUCCACUGCCUUUCUCCGUCCCCGGGGUGUCUUGUGCUGUUAAACCUCACAAGUUUUCCUUCUCUGAGUGGUAUUGACUGGAGAUUUUUGCAGUUGUUUCCCUGCAUUUCCCUCCUGUUGCUGCUCAGUGCCUUCCACGUGCCUAGGCUGAUGCUCUGGCUUCAUUCUUGCCAUUCAUGCUAAACGUUUCCUGUCUUCUUUCCUAGCUAGUUUCGGAGACGAGGGACUGUUCGUCUCUCAUGAAUCUUGCAACAAAAUCAUUUUGUUUUGCUCUGGAAUUUUUUUCUGGGGUUUUUCAUUUCAAAGACGGUCAGACCUCUAUACAGCUUGGAAGAUUUUCAGCUGUAACAUUUAGA